Molecule: ribosomal RNA, 891 nt
Filed under: Halomonas sp. T21(2011)
Lineage: Bacteria; Pseudomonadati; Pseudomonadota; Gammaproteobacteria; Oceanospirillales; Halomonadaceae
Description: bacterial SSU rRNA
Rfam family: Bacterial small subunit ribosomal RNA
Source: RNAcentral
AGCGGCGGACGGGUGAGUAAUGCAUAGGAAUCUGCCCGGUAGUGGGGGAUAACCUGGGGAAACCCAGGCUAAUACCGCAUACGUCCUACGGGAGAAAGGGGGCUUCGGCUCCCGCUAUUGGAUGAGCCUAUGUCGGAUUAGCUAGUUGGUGAGGUAAAGGCUCACCAAGGCGACGAUCCGUAGCUGGUCUGAGAGGAUGAUCAGCCACAUCGGGACUGAGACACGGCCCGAACUCCUACGGGAGGCAGCAGUGGGGAAUAUUGGACAAUGGGGGCAACCCUGAUCCAGCCAUGCCGCGUGUGUGAAGAAGGCCUUCGGGUUGUAAAGCACUUUCAGCGAGGAAGAACGCCUGGUGGUUAAUACCCGCCAGGAAAGACAUCACUCGCAGAAGAAGCACCGGCUAACUCCGUGCCAGCAGCCGCGGUAAUACGGAGGGUGCAAGCGUUAAUCGGAAUUACUGGGCGUAAAGCGCGCGUAGGUGGCUUGAUAAGCCGGUUGUGAAAGCCCCGGGCUCAACCUGGGAACGGCAUCCGGAACUGUCAGGCUAGAGUGCAGGAGAGGAAGGUAGAAUUCCCGGUGUAGCGGUGAAAUGCGUAGAGAUCGGGAGGAAUACCAGUGGCGAAGGCGGCCUUCUGGACUGACACUGACACUGAGGUGCGAAAGCGUGGGUAGCAAACAGGAUUAGAUACCCUGGUAGUCCACGCCGUAAACGAUGUCGACCAGCCGUUGGGUGCCUAGCGCACUUUGUGGCGAAGUUAACGCGAUAAGUCGACCGCCUGGGGAGUACGGCCGCAAGGUUAAAACUCAAAUGAAUUGACAGGGGCCCGCACAAGCGGUGGAGCAUGUGGUUUAAUUCGAUGCAACGCGAAGAACCUUACCUACCCUUGACAU